This is a long non-coding RNA of Cavia porcellus (domestic guinea pig), 1442 nucleotides long. RefSeq lists it as uncharacterized. NCBI's taxonomy places the organism in Eukaryota, Metazoa, Chordata, Mammalia, Rodentia, Caviidae. The record is from RefSeq and is a predicted model, not a curated record. The transcript is spliced from 3 exons.
GCAGGUUUUCUCCGGGGUGCUCCAGGGAAUCUGUCCGUCUAAGCCCAGCCUCACGCCUGCUGUCCGCUGUAAGCCGCCCUCCCAGGUCUUCGGUCCUCUGCUUCUGGGGCACACAACAGUUUCCUUCUUCGACCUUUUCUGUGUCUACUUCCUAGCCUCUUCCUCUGACCCAGCCUCCAUGAACGACUGCCCCUUGGCCACACCAGCCUGCCUUGGAGCCAGCUGAAUAACUCACUUUCCCAGAAACAAGCUCCAAGCAGCCGUUGCAUCCACUGGUUGUCCCCUUGUGGCCACUGAUUCUUGGACCGUGAUCCUUGUUGCUCAGCCUUCUGCCCUGUGACAAAUUCCUGAAAGAAGCACUUUUGACUCCGGGUUAUGGAAGUUGCAGCCCGUGGCUGGCUGUCCCCUUGCUUUUGGUCUGUGUUGAGCUGGCAGCAGUGUGUGUGUGGUGGGGCACAUGACAGGCACCCCAUUUGCCUCAUGGCUGGGAAGUGAAAGAGAAAGGAAGAGCCCAAGACCCCACAGCCUCCUAAAAGGCUGGGCCCAUGUGUUCAGAGGACGUGCGCUGCACACCACCUCCCUGCGGGCCAGGCUGGGAACAAAGCCUGAUGCUUGAGCCACCAGGGAGCCCUCCGGAUCCAAGCAGUACCCCACAGUCUCCUGCUGAAGUGUGACCUGGAUCCAAACGUGGGCAGCAGACAGAGCUGAGUGACGAAGCCUUUCUUAUGUGCCUGGAGAGAUGUAGGAAAGUUGACUGAAGGAAGAUUUGGUUUAGAACUUCCAGUGCAAGAACUUCAAACUGAAAGAGUUAACUCUGAAAUCACCAGGAAGAAGCCGAAGAAUUUAAAGUCCUUCAUUUUCUUAGUUACUGACUUAUUCAGAAAAGAUUACACCUGUAGGACCAUAGUUAAAUGUACAAAGAAAGAGAAGAUACAUGUAUGUCUCAGGAAUAUAUAUAUAUAUUUUUUUUUUCAUAAAAAGAAUAAAAGCAAGCCUGUGGUACCAAAAGCCAGUGUCUAAGACAACUCCUAAAAUGCUAUUUUUGAUAAACACAGAAGAUUGAUUAGCCUGCACUGUCCUGGGAAAAGACUACAAUUAACAUUCCUUCCUUCCUACCUGGCGUGCAUUAUUCUGGAUAAAUUUAAUGUCUACCCUUAAGCAAUAUUCUCUUUCCUAACAGUUUAUUACUUUCUUUUUAGACUCUUGUUUUGCAUUACUUUAAUGUCAAACAUGAUUAGCUACUUUUCUAAUUUGUAUAUAACACAAAUUCCUAACGAACUCCGUAGUUCAGCGAGGACUGAUUUGAACUUUUAGUUUACAUAGUGAGCGUGUUUUAGGAAUGAUGCUGAUGAUAGGAACAAAGACCAGAGUCCAAAUGAAAUGUGGGAUGAAUGAAAAGCCUGCCGUGGGCUCCAUGACAUUAAAAAUGCCGUUUCUCCUAA